This 253-nucleotide ribosomal RNA is filed under the name uncultured bacterium. Its description in RNAcentral is "partial 16S ribosomal RNA". It matches the Rfam family "Bacterial small subunit ribosomal RNA", at positions 524 to 776 of the family's 1533-position model. The record is from RNAcentral.
UACGGGGGGGGCAAGCGUUGUUCGGAAUUAUUGGGCGUAAAGGGCUCGUAGGCGGCCAACUAAGUCCGACGUGAAAUCCCCAGGCUUAACCUGGGAACUGCGUCGGAUACUGGAUGGCUUGAAUUCGGGAGAGGGAUGCAGAAUUCCAGGUGUAGCGGUGAAAUGCGUAGAUAUCUGGAGGAAUACCGGUGGCGAAGGCGGCAUCCUGGACCGACAUUGACGCUGAGGAGCGAAAGCUAGGGGAGCAAACGGG